Lolium rigidum is the source of this 190-nucleotide long non-coding RNA. RefSeq lists it as uncharacterized. The transcript is spliced from 3 exons. The record is from RefSeq and is a predicted model, not a curated record. Lineage: Eukaryota; Viridiplantae; Streptophyta; Magnoliopsida; Poales; Poaceae.
UGAAUGAUAUGAUGAAGGUUAAAGGUUAUAUCAAUGAAAUGGCUGUGAGGGUAGAAGAUGAAGACGAGAGGAUCUCAAGCCUUGCAAAACUCUUCUUUCAUGAGCUAUCAAAGAAAGGAAGCAAUCCAAUUUAUAAUCUUCUUCCGGAUAUUCUGAGCAGACUGUGCAAUCAGCACCUCAAGGAAGAAAC